This 94-nucleotide ribosomal RNA is filed under the name Lejeunea cancellata. Its description in RNAcentral is "partial 5.8S ribosomal RNA". It matches the Rfam family "5.8S ribosomal RNA", at positions 63 to 154 of the family's 154-position model. From Rfam's summary of the family: 5.8S ribosomal RNA (5.8S rRNA) is a component of the large subunit of the eukaryotic ribosome. Lineage: Eukaryota; Viridiplantae; Streptophyta; Jungermanniopsida; Porellales; Lejeuneaceae. The record is from RNAcentral.
UAGUGUGAAUUUGCAGAAUUCCGCGAAUCAUCGAGUUUUUGAACGCAAGUUGCGCCCGAGGCUCGUCUGAGGGCAUGCCUGCCUGAGCGUCCGC